UUGGGGCUGCAUUCAAAGUUUGCGUCGAUUGGCUAGAUCGCGAACGGCUACCGUUUAUAGGCCGUAAACGGGAACCUAAGUGGCUUUGCCAUAUGCAUACCAGAUAGCCCGCCGGGGGCCCCAGCUUUACACGUUGCCAUUUCUUUUCCAUUGCCGGAAGAGAUUGUUCAUUCCCUAGACACAACCUUACAAACCCAGAGAAACGAAAAUUACCCGAAAAUUACCACUAUUCACAAUGCCAUUAAUCAAGUAUGACAAUUUGCAUUCAAAGACAUCAUCAUGAUACACCGCCCCCACUUUUCUUUGUUUGGCUAUAGCGACCAGCUAGAGGUCAAGUUUUUAUAUACCGGCCCGGUCACCGGUGUAGAACUUCAGUUUCCUUGACAAAUUUGUUUAAACACAAUUACACUUGGCAUGAUAUACGGUAUUCCCGGAGGAUUAAAAGUCAUUUAAAUGAUCAAUUUAUGAAAAGAGCGCCACACCUUCCACUUCACCCUGUACUGCACGGCGGGCCCUCGCCUCCGUUCAUCAAGGAUGGCUUCAAUUUCAUACUCCACAUCGUUGCUGUAGUCUUGGCUUGAAUAGACAUACAACGGUACAUCCCCCUUCUUGUACGUUGCUCUGCAUGUGUACGAGUUUCAAAAAUCUCAUUAUAAAGUUGGUAGACAUGUUCAUAAUUAUUUUUAGUGUGUGCACAAAAACGAUUGGUUUACGAAGAGAAGUUUGAAAUUCACGCUCGCGGGUAGCAUCUGCCGUCUGGACACUCCACCCAUCCCGGUCUCUUCCUGUCAUCAUUGUCGCCAGGGUACUCA
RNAcentral lists this long non-coding RNA (812 nucleotides) under Coccomyxa subellipsoidea. RNAcentral's name for it is "long non-coding RNA (CSUB_LNC000135)". The record is from RNAcentral. Lineage: Eukaryota; Viridiplantae; Chlorophyta; Trebouxiophyceae; Coccomyxaceae.